GGGGAUAUGGUGUAGGGGUAUCACGUCUGCUUUGCAUGCAGAAGGCCCGGGGUUCAAAUCCCCGUGUCUCCA
RNAcentral lists this transfer RNA (72 nucleotides) under Trichoderma reesei QM6a. RNAcentral describes it as "tRNA-Ala (TGC) (tRNA-Ala-TGC-1-1)". It matches the Rfam family "tRNA". From Rfam's summary of the family: Transfer RNA (tRNA) molecules are approximately 80 nucleotides in length. Lineage: Eukaryota; Fungi; Ascomycota; Sordariomycetes; Hypocreales; Hypocreaceae. RNAcentral also lists the same sequence under 2 other names. The record is from RNAcentral.